Molecule: small nucleolar RNA, 111 nt
Organism: Papaver somniferum (opium poppy)
Lineage: Eukaryota; Viridiplantae; Streptophyta; Magnoliopsida; Ranunculales; Papaveraceae
Product: small nucleolar RNA Z278
Exons: 1
Source: RefSeq, a predicted model, not a curated record
GCCUAUGAUGAUGUUAUCCAAUUAGUGGUGUGGUGGAACUAAGACCCUGUUUACAGGGAGAACCCCUUGGAGAAGCCAUAUUCCCAUGACAAUAAUGGAUCUUACCGAGGC